AGAAGGCUUCCGCAGACAAAUAACAUGGCGGCGCCCGAGAGCGGCGAGCAAGCGAGCCAAUUGGAAUUGUAUCCUUGGAUUGCAGUGAUGUUGAAGCGUCGAGAGUUCUCUUUGCAGUUUCAGCCAAACUAGCAAUAAGGUUAUCGCGUCUCCGACGUCUCUGGGCCUGAUUCUCCGCGAGCGAGCUUGGCUUCUUUCCUGAGCGCUGACGUCGAGUCACUCGCACACGUUUCCUUGACCCUCCCCUUUUCUAGCUCGCUGCAAGUUCCCUUCCAGUCGGCGCGCCAGGCUGCUGUGGCUCUGCGCUCGCUGAGUCCCGACCGCGAGCCCCGGCGAGGAGGCGUCCGCAAGCGGCUGACGCUCGCCGGGAGUGUGCUCAGCGCGAAGUGGCGUGCAGAGCAAGCUCGCGUCCUUCGCGUAUCCGUCAACUCCUUCCUGGAGCACCUCGACCUGGUCUUGGAGACCAUGCGUGCCUUUCCCGCCGACGUCGGACAGGAUCCUCACAGCGUUCUUGGUCGUCCACCUUCGAUGGACACGCGAGGGCCCGCCUUCAUGGAAAACUUCAGCGAGCCGAUGCUGCGUUCUUGAUUUAAAGUUUUUAGCGUUAAGCAUGUUUAUCCUUUUUUUUCCUAAGUUGAUUUCAUCGCGCGCUUGAUUACUGGCGUCAGCUAUUGCCCAAAAUGUCGCCACGAGCUGCUGUAGACGCAAGGCAGCCAAGCCAGCGCUCCGUUGGUUUUGCUCUGACCAUUGUGCUCGUCUGCGUUGGGGCAGGGUAUUUUUGGUUCUUAUUUAAAUGUUUUUCCCCUGAUCUCACGUGUGCUUCAUGUGUAAAUGUACGUAUCAUUUUGCUUUGAAUAAAAACAGAAGUCGCCUGCC
This is an RNA transcript of Syngnathus typhle (broad-nosed pipefish), 876 nucleotides long. It is a transcript of the gene named EKC/KEOPS complex subunit LAGE3-like, with no coding region annotated. The record is from RefSeq and is a predicted model, not a curated record. Lineage: Eukaryota; Metazoa; Chordata; Actinopteri; Syngnathiformes; Syngnathidae. The transcript is spliced from 3 exons.